Molecule: ribosomal RNA, 254 nt
Filed under: uncultured bacterium
Lineage: Bacteria
Description: partial 16S ribosomal RNA
Rfam family: Bacterial small subunit ribosomal RNA
Source: RNAcentral
UACGGGGGGAGCAAGCGUUGUUCGGAUUUACUGGGCGUAAAGGGCGCGUAGGCGGCCACCGCAAGUCAGUUGUGAAAUCUCUGGGCUUAACCCAGAAAGGUCAACUGAUACUGCGGGGCUAGAGUGCAGAAGGGGCAACUGGAAUCCUCGGUGUAGCGGUGAAAUGCGUAGAUAUCGAGAGGAACACCUGCGGCGAAGGCGGGUUGCUGGGCUGACACUGACGCUGAUGCGCGAAAGCUAGGGGAGCGAACAGG